This 459-nucleotide ribosomal RNA is filed under the name uncultured bacterium. Its description in RNAcentral is "partial 16S ribosomal RNA". It matches the Rfam family "Bacterial small subunit ribosomal RNA", at positions 338 to 795 of the family's 1533-position model. The record is from RNAcentral.
CCUACGGGAGGCAGCAGUGAGGAAUAUUGGUCAAUGGUCGGGAGACUGAACCAGCCAAGCCGCGUGAGGGAUGAAGGUACAGAGUAUCGUAAACCUCUUUUGUCAGGGAACAAAGGCGGGGACGUGUCCCCGGAUGAGUGUACCUGAAGAAAAAGCAUCGGCUAACUCCGUGCCAGCAGCCGCGGUAAUACGGAGGAUGCGAGCGUUAUCCGGAUUUAUUGGGUUUAAAGGGUUGGCAGGCGGUCUGUUAAGUCAGCGGUCAAAGCCCGGGGCUCAACCCCGCCCCGCCGUUGAAACUGGCAGUCUUGAGUUGGAGAGAAGUAUGCGGAAUGCGCGGUGUAGCGGUGAAAUGCAUAGAUAUCGCGCAGAACUCCGAUUGCGAAGGCAGCAUGCCGGCUCCACACUGACGCUGAGGCACGAAAGCGUGGGUAUCGAACAGGAUUAGAUACCCCUGUAGUC